RNAcentral lists this unclassified non-coding RNA (263 nucleotides) under plant metagenome. RNAcentral's name for it is "partial contains small subunit ribosomal RNA, internal transcribed spacer 1, and 5.8S ribosomal RNA". The record is from RNAcentral.
UCUCCGUUGGUGAACCUGCGGAAGGAUCAUUAUUGUAUAACCGAGGUGCGAGGGCUGUCGCUGACCCGAAAGGUCGUGCACGCCCGAGUGCCCUCACACACAUCCAUCUCACCCCUAUGUGCACCACCGCGUGGGUCCCCCUUUGGCUUGUUCGGAGGGGGGCUUACGUUUUCACACAAACUUUGUAUGCAGUGUAGAAUGUAUUUUUUGUUUUUGCGAUCACGCAAUCAAUACGACUUUCAACAACGGAUCUCUUGGCUCUC